CCAGACUCCUACGGGAGGCAGCAGUGAGGGAUAUUGCACAAUGGGGGAAACCCUGAUGCAGCGACGCCGCGUGGGUGAAGAAGCGCCUCGGCGCGUAAAGCCCUGUCAGCAGGGAAGAAAAUGACGGUACCUGAAGAAGAAGCCCCGGCUAACUACGUGCCAGCAGCCGCGGUAAUACGUAGGGGGCAAGCGUUAUCCGGAUUUACUGGGUGUAAAGGGGGCGCAGACGGCGAUGCAAGCCAGGAGUGAAAGCCCGGGGCCCAACCCCGGGACUGCUUUGGAAACUGUGAAGCUGGAGUGCGGGAGGGGCAGGCGGAAUUCCUGGUGUAGCGGUGAAAUGCGUAGAUAUCAGGAGGAACACCGGCGGCGAAGGCGGCCUGCUGGACCGUAACUGACGUUGAGGCUCGAAAGCGUGGGGAGCAAACAGGAUUAGAUACCCUGGUAUC
This 446-nucleotide ribosomal RNA is filed under the name uncultured bacterium. Its description in RNAcentral is "partial 16S ribosomal RNA". It matches the Rfam family "Bacterial small subunit ribosomal RNA", at positions 331 to 794 of the family's 1533-position model. The record is from RNAcentral.